UUUAUGGAGAGUUUGAUCCUGGCUCAGGACGAACGCUGGCGGCGUGCCUAAUACAUGCAAGUCGAGCGGACAGAAGGGAGCUUGCUCCCUGAAGUUAGCGGCGGACGGGUGAGUAACACGUGGGCAACCUGCCCUGCAGAUGGGGAUAACUCCGGGAAACCGGGGCUAAU
This 170-nucleotide ribosomal RNA is filed under the name Sporosarcina luteola. RNAcentral's name for it is "partial 16S ribosomal RNA". It matches the Rfam family "Bacterial small subunit ribosomal RNA", at positions 1 to 167 of the family's 1533-position model. The record is from RNAcentral. Lineage: Bacteria; Bacillati; Bacillota; Bacilli; Caryophanales; Caryophanaceae.